This 207-nucleotide non-coding RNA is filed under the name Micromonospora yangpuensis. The record is from RNAcentral. Lineage: Bacteria; Bacillati; Actinomycetota; Actinomycetes; Micromonosporales; Micromonosporaceae.
AUGGUGUCCCGCGGAGCUGGUUCGGCUGCCCAUCCAGGGCGGCCGAGGCAAGAGGGAAUCCGGUGCGAGACCGGAACUGCCCCGCAGCGGUGAGUGGGAACGACCGCCGUCAACGAGCACUGGGCCACCCGGCCUGGGAAGCGACGGCCAGUAGGCACGCGUGAGACGCCCACGAGUCCGAAGACCUGCCAGCACGCCGUCCGCGGC